Manis pentadactyla (Chinese pangolin) is the source of this 948-nucleotide long non-coding RNA. RefSeq lists it as uncharacterized. NCBI's taxonomy places the organism in Eukaryota, Metazoa, Chordata, Mammalia, Pholidota, Manidae. The record is from RefSeq and is a predicted model, not a curated record. The transcript is spliced from 2 exons.
GGCUCCUGGAGUCCACAUUUAAAAGGCACACUCCACAAGCAAGUUCCUGAGCAUUUUUAAUCCCAGGCCGUAGCAUACAAGAGGAAAAAUCCAGCGAAUUUUCAUCAGGCUGUGAGGACAAGACAAAUGGGACUCUUCUAUGACACAGGCACUGAAACUAAAGCAAACGGUGGAAGAAGGGUUGGUGCUGUUUAGAAACAUUCUUAGAGACGUGAAGAAGCAAAAAGUCAGACAGAAAUCGUGAUAUGUUUCUGUAAAGCUACACCAAGCGAGCCUGCCUCCCCUCCGGCCUCCCCCACCCCUUGGGCCUCUGCCAGCCCCGAGACAGCAAGCUCUCCUCUUUCUUCUCCUCCUCUUCAGCCUACUCAGUGUGAAAAAGGCGGAUGAAGACCUUUUUGAUGAUCCACUUCCACUUAAUGAAUAGUAAAAUAAAUCACCCUGUCAUACAGUUAAUAACCUUAUCUGUUGUGUAUUUGUGUGUGUGUGAAAAAACUGUAGGGGAAGAGCUGUCUGAGAUGUUUUGUGUCAUUACAAUUGUCACCUAAGUAUUCAUCGCAAAGAACAUCAUGUGCAAGACUUGGUUGGGAGUGGAUAGCCUGCCUUUAUGUGAGCAUAAGCUGAGUGAUAGUUAAUAUGAAAUUAAUAUUACAUUAGUUUUCUCACUGUUUUAUAACUUCUUUCAAAGAAUUUCAUUACUGUACAGUAUGCCUAAUAAUUGGAGAAACUGCGUAUCAACCUAUCAAUACAGGUAAGUGGUUUCUUAAAAUACCUAACAAUGUUUCUAAUACUGUGUUAUGAAUAUGACUGUGAUACUGUAUGUCAUACAAAUUUUAUAAAGAUUUAUUCAUUUGUGUAUAGACCAGGUGACCCUAAAACAAUCAUAUUGCUAUUUCUUUGUUAUCAAUGCAUAAAUCAUAUACCUGUAUAUACACAUGAAUGUCCUUUUUA